RNAcentral lists this ribosomal RNA (1298 nucleotides) under metagenome. RNAcentral's name for it is "bacterial LSU rRNA". It matches the Rfam family "Bacterial large subunit ribosomal RNA", at positions 1638 to 2925 of the family's 2925-position model. The record is from RNAcentral.
ACGACCGUACCGCAAACCGACACUGGUGCGCGAGAUGAGUAUUCUAAGGCGCUUGAGAGAACUCAGGAGAAGGAACUCGGCAAAUUGACACCGUAACUUCGGAAGAAGGUGUGCCUUUAGUAGGUGAAGUCCCUCGCGGAUGGAGCCCAAUGAGGUUGCAAAAAAUCGGUGGCUGCGACUGUUUAUUAAAAACACAGCACUCUGCAAACACGAAAGUGGACGUAUAGGGUGUGACGCCUGCCCGGUGCUGGAAGAUUAAAUGAUGGGGUGCAAGCUCUUGAUUGAAGUCCCAGUAAACGGCGGCCGUAACUAUAACGGUCCUAAGGUAGCGAAAUUCCUUGUCGGGUAAGUUCCGACCUGCACGAAUGGCGUAACGAUGGCCACACUGUCUCCUCCUGAGACUCAGCGAAGUUGAAAUGUUUGUGAUGAUGCAAUCUCCCCGCGGAAAGACGGAAAGACCCCAUGAACCUUUACUGUAGCUUUGUAUUGGACUUUGAACAGAUCUGUGUAGGAUAGGUGGGAGGUUUUGAAGCAGGGUCGCUAGAUCUUGUGGAGCCAACGUUGAAAUACCACCCUGGUGUGUUUGAGGUUCUAACCUAGGCCCGUAAUCCGGGUUGGGGACAGUGCAUGGUAGGCAGUUUGACUGGGGCGGUCUCCUCCCAAAGUGUAACGGAGGAGUUCGAAGGUACGCUAGUUACGGUCGGACAUCGUGACGAUAGUGCAAUGGCAUAAGCGUGCUUAACUGCGAGACUGACAAGUCGAGCAGAUGCGAAAGCAGGACAUAGUGAUCCGGUGGUUCUGUAUGGAAGGGCCAUCGCUCAACGGAUAAAAGGUACUCUGGGGAUAACAGGCUGAUACCGCCCAAGAGUUCAUAUCGACGGCGGUGUUUGGCACCUCGAUGUCGGCUCAUCUCAUCCUGGGGCUGUAGCCGGUCCCAAGGGUAUGGCCGUUCGCCAUUUAAAGAGGUACGUGAGCUGGGUUUAAAACGUCGUGAGACAGUUUGGUCCCUAUCUUCCGUGGGCGCUGCAGAUUUGAGGAAGCCUGCUCCUAGUACGAGAGGACCGGAGUGGACGCACCUCUGGUGUAUCGGUUGUCACGCCAGUGGCAUUGCCGAGUAGCUAUGUGCGGAAGAGAUAACCGCUGAAAGCAUCUAAGCGGGAAACUCGUUUCAAGAUGAGAUCUGCCGGGGCCUUGAGCCCCCUGAAGAGUCGUUCAAGACCAGGACGUUGAUAGGUCGGGUGUGGAAGCGCAGUAAUGCGUUAAGCUAACCGAUACUAAUUGCUCGUGCGGCUUGACCC